Molecule: ribosomal RNA, 465 nt
Filed under: Vreelandella stevensii
Lineage: Bacteria; Pseudomonadati; Pseudomonadota; Gammaproteobacteria; Oceanospirillales; Halomonadaceae
Description: partial 16S ribosomal RNA
Rfam family: Bacterial small subunit ribosomal RNA
Source: RNAcentral
CCUACGGGUGGCUGCAGUGGGGAAUAUUGGACAAUGGGGGGAACCCUGAUCCAGCCAUGCCGCGUGUGUGAAGAAGGCCCUCGGGUUGUAAAGCACUUUCAGUGAGGAAGAACGCCUGGUGGUUAAUACCCAUCAGGAAAGACAUCACUCACAGAAGAAGCACCGGCUAACUCCGUGCCAGCAGCCGCGGUAAUACGGAGGGUGCGAGCGUUAAUCGGAAUUACUGGGCGUAAAGCGCGCGUAGGUGGCUUGAUAAGCCGGUUGUGAAAGCCCCGGGCUCAACCUGGGAACGGCAUCCGGAACUGUCAAGCUAGAGUGCAGGAGAGGAAGGUAGAAUUCCCGGUGUAGCGGUGAAAUGCGUAGAGAUCGGGAGGAAUACCAGUGGCGAAGGCGGCCUUCUGGACUGAAACUGACACUGAGGUGCGAAAGCGUGGGUAGCAAACAGGAUUAGAUACCCCAGUAGUC